RNAcentral lists this ribosomal RNA (251 nucleotides) under uncultured bacterium. Its description in RNAcentral is "partial 16S ribosomal RNA". It matches the Rfam family "Bacterial small subunit ribosomal RNA", at positions 526 to 776 of the family's 1533-position model. The record is from RNAcentral.
CGUAGGGCGCAAGCGUUGUCCGGAAUUAUUGGGCGUAAAGAGCUCGUAGGCGGUCUGUUACGUCUGCUGUGAAAACCCGGGGCUUAACCCUGGGCUUGCAGUGGAUACGGGCAGACUAGAGGCAGGUAGGGGAGAAUGGAAUUCCCGGUGUAGCGGUGAAAUGCGCAGAUAUCGGGAGGAACACCGGUGGCGAAGGCGGUUCUCUGGGCCUGACCUGACGCUGAGGAGCGAAAGCGUGGGGAGCGAACAGG